RNAcentral lists this ribosomal RNA (325 nucleotides) under uncultured soil bacterium. RNAcentral's name for it is "bacterial SSU rRNA". It matches the Rfam family "Bacterial small subunit ribosomal RNA", at positions 26 to 351 of the family's 1533-position model. The record is from RNAcentral.
AGAUUGAACGCUGGCGGCAGGCCUAACACAUGCAAGUCGAGCGGUAGAGAGGUGCUUGCAUCUCUUGAGAGCGGCGGACGGGUGAGUAAUGCCUAGGAAUCUGCCUAGUGGGUGGGGGAUAACGUUCGGAAACGGACGCUAAUACCGCAUACGUCCUACGGGAGAAAGCGGGGGACCUUCGGGCCUCGCGCCAUUAGAUGAGCCUAGGUCGGAUUAGCUAGUUGGUGAGGUAAUGGCUCACCAAGGCGACGAUCCGUAACUGGUCUGAGAGGAUGAUCAGUCACACUGGAACUGAGAACACGGUCCAGACUCCGUACGGAGGCAG